CAGUCGCCGCGGGAAUACGUAGGUGGCAAGCGUUGUCCGGAAUUAUUGGGCGUAAAGGGCUCGCAGGCGGUUUCUUAAGUCUGAUGUGAAAGCCCCCGGCUCAACCGGGGAGGGUCAUUGGAAACUGGGAAACUUGAGUGCAGAAGAGGAGAGUGGAAUUCCACGUGUAGCGGUGAAAUGCGUAGAGAUGUGGAGGAACACCAAUGGCGAAGGCGACUCUCUGGUCUGUAACUGACGCUGAGGAGCGAAAGCGUGGGGAGCGAACAGGAUUAGAUACCCCCGUAGUCCCUGUCUCUUAUAC
This 301-nucleotide ribosomal RNA is filed under the name uncultured bacterium. RNAcentral describes it as "partial 16S ribosomal RNA". It matches the Rfam family "Bacterial small subunit ribosomal RNA", at positions 509 to 807 of the family's 1533-position model. The record is from RNAcentral.